GGCGGACGGGUGAGUAACGCGUGGGUAACCUGCCUUGUACUGGGGGACGAACAGUUGGAAACGACUGCUAAUACCGCAUAAGCGCACAGCUUCGCAUGAAGCAGUGUGAAAAACUCCGGUGGUACAAGAUGGACCCGCGUCUGAUUAGCUGGUUGGUGAGGUAACGGCCCACCAAGGCGACGAUCAGUAGCCGGCCUGAGAGGGUGAACGGCCACAUUGGGACUGAGACACGGCCCAAACUCCUACGGGAGGCAGCAUG
This 259-nucleotide ribosomal RNA is filed under the name uncultured bacterium. RNAcentral describes it as "partial 16S ribosomal RNA". It matches the Rfam family "Bacterial small subunit ribosomal RNA", at positions 97 to 353 of the family's 1533-position model. The record is from RNAcentral.